Molecule: long non-coding RNA, 637 nt
Organism: Clupea harengus (Atlantic herring)
Lineage: Eukaryota; Metazoa; Chordata; Actinopteri; Clupeiformes; Clupeidae
Source: Ensembl
AAGAGAAGAGAGGAGAGGAGAGGAGAGGAGGAGAGAAGAGAGGACAGCAAAGCCAGAGCUCAGUCUGGAUCCCUUGGUGCUGAAGCUUGGUGCUGCUUUUGUUAUGGAGACCCUGUUUGUUUUCUUUCUCCAGCCCAGUGGUUUUCCCCAACAACUCUGUCAAGGUAAGAUAAGUGGUAGUGUGGGGAUCUGUACAAUUAAGGGUUUCGGGGACUGAUGGAUAUUGGUGUGUGUGUCCGUGCCUUCUGGGGUCCUGUAUCAGUCGUGUGUGUGUGUGUGUGUGUGUCACUGGUCCUGUAUCAGUCGUGUGUGUUCUCGUGUGUGUGUGUGUGUGUCACUGUCUUUAGGCCACUGCAAAUGCUGCUCCACAAACUCCUAGGGCAAGUACUGUACAGACUAGAGGUAAGUUCAAGCCCUGAGGUGAGAGGGCAUCUAUCUGGUGUCUCUUCCUAAGCACCAUGUGCACCUCCCAGAGCUCAGGGGCUCAUUCAGAAUCUCAUUAGUGUCAAGUGUGUGUGUGUGUGUGUGUGUGUCUGUCAGUGUGUGUGUGUGUGUGUCUGUCAGUGUGUGUGUGUGUGUGUUGGUUUUUCAUGCAUUAUGAGGACCGGGGCGAAACGAGGCUCCAUUUGAGAAAACA